Molecule: long non-coding RNA, 244 nt
Organism: Fundulus heteroclitus (mummichog)
Lineage: Eukaryota; Metazoa; Chordata; Actinopteri; Cyprinodontiformes; Fundulidae
Exons: 3
Source: RefSeq, a predicted model, not a curated record
GUGGAGAGUGUUUAACUUCAGUUUUCUGGGUUGAGAUGCAAGUUGUCUUUUACAACACAAGUUUCCUGGAUUAAGCCUGGAUGUGAUUUUGCCAUGAGUCAGGGUAAGGAUAAAGAAGAGGGAGGAACCUUUUGUGAGGAACCUGCGAUCCAAAGAGCAGCUAAAGGGAUUCACCAACAACUACACUCUACUUCCUCUACAUUCAGCUGCAACUCCUGGAGGACGAACCAGUCAAAAAAUAUUU